CCUACGGGGGGCUGCAGUAAGGAAUAUUGGUCAAUGGACGCAAGUCUGACCCAGCCAUGCCGCGUGGAGGAUGAAGGUCCUCUGGAUUGUAAACUUCUUUUAUUUGGGAAGAAACUCCCGAUUUCCAUCGGGAUUGACGGUACCAGAUGAAUAAGCACCGGCUCACUCCGUGCCAGCAGCCGCGGUAAUACGGAGGGUGCAAGCGUUAUCCGGUUUCACUGGUUUGUAGGGGGGCAGGUAAGGCAGUGGUGAAAUCUCCGGGCUUAACCCGGAAACGGCCAUGGAUACUAUUUGUCUUGAAUACUCUGGAGGUGAGCGGAAUAUGGCAUGUAGCGGUGAAAUGCGUAGAUAUGACAUAGAACACCCAUUGCGAAGGCAGCUCACUACGGAAAUAUUGACGCUGAGGCACGAAAGCGUGGGGAUCAAACAGGAUUAGAUACCCCUGUAGUC
Molecule: ribosomal RNA, 450 nt
Filed under: uncultured bacterium
Lineage: Bacteria
Description: partial 16S ribosomal RNA
Rfam family: Bacterial small subunit ribosomal RNA
Source: RNAcentral